UUUUUUUUUUUUUUUUGAAGAUUUUAUUUAUUAUUCAUGAGAGACAGAGAGAGAGAGAGGCAGAGACACAGGCAGAGGAAGAAGCAGGCUCCAUGCAGGGAGCCCAACGCGGGACUCGAUCCUGGGACUCCAGGAUCUGGGCCUAAAGGAGACGCUCAACCACUGAGCCACCCAGGGAUCCCCAGAGACAGGCACAUAAAAAUAACUGAUACAGUCCCAAGUUUAAAGGAAAAAGAAAAAAAAAGAAAAGAAAAAGAAAAAGAAAUAACUAUUAAUAAAUCUUUGAGACAAUCCUGGACACAUGACUGUGGAUUAUGCAUCAGAUUUUGACAAAAAUUACUACAUGUCUUGUUGGAGUUGAGAGUGGAAGAGUGGUUAUAUGAGAAAAUAUUCUUGUUUUUGGUUUUAGACACUAAAUUAUGUAGGAAUGAAACAACAAUGUUUUGGGUUUCCUUUAAAAUGCAUUAGCAAAAACAAAAUCAGAUAGAUGAAGUGGUAUUUUGAUUAUUGUUGAAUCUAGAAGAUAAAUAUAUGGGAAUUUUUAUUAACAAUUCUUUUUUUUACAUUAUGCUUAAACUCUUCAUAGUAUAAAAAUUUAUGUUAAGAAAACAAUAGCAAUGGGGCACCAGGAGGGCUCCAUCGGCUAAGCAGCUUUGGCUCAGGUCAUGAUCUCGGGGUCCCAGAAUUGAGCCCCAUGGGGACCCUGCUUCUCCCUCUGCCUCUUCUCCUUCCCACCGCUUGUGCUCAAUCUCUCUCGCUCUCUCUCAAAUAAAAUCUUUUUUAAAAAUAAAAAAAAAAAAACAAUAGCAACCACAAACUCUAACUACAAAAUUGCAGCUUUAGCAGAAGGCAUAACUCUUUCACAAAAGGAUGACAGCCCUGCUGACAAAGCUGGCACCGAACUCCUAAAACAUUGUUUGAAAUGAGGGACUUGCAGAGGCCACACGAUAGAGUCUUCAAAAUAAAUAAAGAGACUAAAAAUGAUUAUGACACAAGAUUUUGAUUGAUCCUAAUUCACUUGUGACACUGACCAACAGUGCACGACCGCCGUGAGGGUGAAAUUCUUUUGCCAAAGACAUUGCAAGACUGGCCAUCCGCAGCCUUUAUUUUAUUUUCUUUUUUUUCAUCCGCAGCCUUUAACCCUCAAAGCCACCCCCACCUCUGAACCUGCAGAGUGAAGAUGUGCGCGGUGAGGUCCGAGCUGCUGCACAGAGGGUGCAGCACCCAGCACCUCCUUCAGAUGUGGCCACGGGAGACGAGGAGCGCCAAGACUAUGAGCAGACAAUGAACAGAGAAGAAAAAGGAAGAUGGUUUUUACUCAACAGCAGAACCAGGUGCUUCCAGAUAGUCUUCACAAGAAAUGCAUUCUAUGCCAGAUAAAAAAUAAAAAAUAAAUUUAAAAAAAAGAGUCUUUGAGCACCUGCUGGAAUAAAUGGGUAGAUAGACUUCCAUAAUCCAAAUUCUUGACCUGCAUGUUUUUUUCUUCAUCCCAACUCAUUCCUAACAUGUAGGCUCAAUCUUCUCAGUAUUUGAACUACUGGUUCAGCAGAAACCAGGAAAAACAAGAACUUUGUAGUUAGAAUGUUAUCCAACUGUAUAUUGUUUACUUUAUUGUAAAUACUGGUAAACAGUGGUCAAUAAAUAGUUUUUUUUUUUAAUAAAUAGUUUUAUAUUCCUUUUUUUUUUUUUAAAAGAGUCUUUGUUGUCUGCAUGGUGGGGGAGAUGCUGCGUG
RNAcentral lists this long non-coding RNA (1732 nucleotides) under Canis lupus familiaris (dog). RNAcentral's name for it is "lncRNA (ENSCAFG00000056624.1)". The record is from RNAcentral. Lineage: Eukaryota; Metazoa; Chordata; Mammalia; Carnivora; Canidae.